GUUUCAGGGCGAGGUGAAAAUCCUCACCGGCGGUAUAGUCCGCGAACGCAUUGCAGCUGUGAAACUUUCGGACAGGCAAUUGAAAUUCCGAAAAGCUGUGGUGCGCCGAUCAGGUGAAAUUCCUGAACCGACGGUUACAGUCCGGAUGGAAGAAA
Molecule: non-coding RNA, 155 nt
Filed under: pig gut metagenome
Also listed under: 1 other name
Description: FMN riboswitch (RFN element)
Rfam family: FMN riboswitch aptamer (RFN element)
About the family: The RFN element is a highly conserved domain that is found frequently in the 5'-untranslated regions of prokaryotic mRNAs that encode for flavin mononucleotide (FMN) biosynthesis and transport proteins. This element is a metabolite-dependent riboswitch that directly binds FMN in the absence of proteins. In Bacillus subtilis, the riboswitch most likely controls gene expression by causing premature transcription termination within the 5' untranslated region of the ribDEAHT operon and precluding access to the ribosome-binding site of ypaA mRNA.
Source: RNAcentral